UGUGAGUUGUGACUUGUGAUUGUCAGUUAUUUUCUGUUGUUUUCAAAUUGAGAACUGAGAAGGCCUGCUUUAUGCGACGAGAGUAAAGAUCUUGUGAAUAUUAAUCGACUGUGGAUAUAUCUUGGAUAUUAUAUUACACCUACUGAUCAUAUUUGCCAUGCAUGCUGGCAACUUGCGUAUCAUGCAUCUACUGAAAAUAUGUCCAGCAGCAGCAGCGGUUCGCCAUCAUAAUAUCUGUGUUGUAUCAUGUGGAUUAUCCAUAGUAAUAGCAAAUCGAUGCAGAAUUUUAAUUGAAGGGACAAAUGAAGAACAACAAAGAGUGGCUUCUAUACCUAGUAUCUUCUUGGAUUCAAGCACGAGAGCUUUGGUCUCAAGAUGAAGAACCAGAAUAGUCCAAGUAAUUGAGGAUUUUCAACCUGAAUAUAUGGAAUCAGCUUUAAUGUGUACUGUAUGUGGCCAGUCUAGACACCACAA
Molecule: long non-coding RNA, 474 nt
Organism: Aricia agestis (brown argus)
Lineage: Eukaryota; Metazoa; Arthropoda; Insecta; Lepidoptera; Lycaenidae
Exons: 3
Source: RefSeq, a predicted model, not a curated record